RNAcentral lists this transfer RNA (74 nucleotides) under Apaloderma vittatum (bar-tailed trogon). It matches the Rfam family "tRNA". From Rfam's summary of the family: Transfer RNA (tRNA) molecules are approximately 80 nucleotides in length. Their secondary structure includes four short double-helical elements and three loops (D, anti-codon, and T loops). The record is from Rfam by way of RNAcentral. Lineage: Eukaryota; Metazoa; Chordata; Aves; Trogoniformes; Trogonidae.
GGCUGGUUAGCUCGGUUGGUUAGAGCGUGGUGCUGAUAACACUAAGGCCACAGGUUCGAUCCCCGCACAGUCCC